CCAAUAUUUCGUCCAAGCUGAACUUCUCACCGCAUGGGAUUCUCAUUUGUUUACACAAACUGUACCAAUCGGCUACUAAGCCAUUACGGUACUCGAUCGUAAAGACACCAAGGAUCUAUAAUGCUGGUGGAUUGGUUAUGUGUCCUUAAAACAUAAAACAGAGACGAUUGUGUCUAUGACAACCGUUGUUGGGAUUGCAACAAAGGGUGGAGCCCUUCAAGAAGUCACUGAAUUCAUGUUUCUCAACGAAACAAGUCGUUUUCUAGAAAUAUUGAGAUGAAAUUGAAGUUUGAGGGGAUGUAGGUUUUUAAUAAUUUUCCACGUGACGUUUAACGCUAGUUAGAGAGUGUAUUUGUAUGAGACAAAUUUUCUUAUAGAAAUACAGCAGGUACGGUGAACUGUAUAUGAAAAUAUAAUCAUUAAUCUGUUAUAAAUACUUUGGCAUCUGUUUCGGAAGCUUCUUCGAUAAAUCACUUGUUAUUAUAAAAUUACAAAUAAAUAAAUAUGUAAAAGUAUUGAGCAAUACUAACUCCAAAUUUCUCGAUAAAGUUUUAGCACCCAUUGUAAAAUCACGUAUGUUCUUAGUAAAAAAAAAAAAAAAAAAAAAA
This is a long non-coding RNA of Venturia canescens, 608 nucleotides long. RefSeq lists it as uncharacterized. The record is from RefSeq and is a predicted model, not a curated record. The transcript is spliced from 2 exons. Lineage: Eukaryota; Metazoa; Arthropoda; Insecta; Hymenoptera; Ichneumonidae.